Molecule: ribosomal RNA, 251 nt
Filed under: Streptomyces sp.
Lineage: Bacteria; Bacillati; Actinomycetota; Actinomycetes; Kitasatosporales; Streptomycetaceae
Description: partial 16S ribosomal RNA
Rfam family: Bacterial small subunit ribosomal RNA
Source: RNAcentral
UGGCUCACAGGCGACGACGGGUAGCCGGCCUGAGAGGGCGACCGGCCACACUGGGACUGAGACACGGCCCAGACUCCUACGGGAGGCAGCAGUGGGGAAUAUUGCACAAUGGGCGAAAGCCUGAUGCAGCGACGCCGCGUGAGGGAUGACGGCCUUCGGGUUGUAAACCUCUUUCAGCAGGGAAGAAGCGAAAGUGACGGUACCUGCAGAAGAAGCGCCGGCUAACUACGUGCCAGCAGCCGCGGCCGAUU